UGACGGAUGUUCAGUGGUAGAAUAGUAGUGACUCUAAGACCCGACUUGCACUCGGGUGGUCGUGGGUUCAAAUCCCACCCGGUCCA
This 86-nucleotide transfer RNA is filed under the name Nitrososphaerota archaeon. RNAcentral describes it as "Thaumarchaeota archaeon tRNA-Ala". The stretch from base 19 to 86 matches the Rfam family "tRNA". From Rfam's summary of the family: Transfer RNA (tRNA) molecules are approximately 80 nucleotides in length. Their secondary structure includes four short double-helical elements and three loops (D, anti-codon, and T loops). The record is from RNAcentral. Lineage: Archaea; Thermoproteati; Nitrososphaerota.